GUGACGAAGCGACGCCGCGUGUGGGAAGAAGGCCUUCGGGUUGUAAACCACUGUCGGGAGUUAAGAAAUGUAAGGGUGUUAAUAGCAUCCUUACUUGACUAAGGCUCCGGAGGAAGCCACGGCUAACUCUGUGCCAGCAGCCGCGGUAAUACAGAGGCGGCAAGCGUUGUUCGGAAUUAUUGGGCGUAAAGAGCACGUAGGCGGCCGUGCAAGUCGGUUGUGAAAGCCUUCCGUUUAACGGAAGAACAGCAGCCGAUACUGCAUAGCUUGAGUGCGGAAGGGGAGAGUGGAACUUCUGGUGGAGCGGUGAAAUGCGUAGAUAUCAGAAGGAACGCCGGCGGCGAAAGCGGCUCUCUGGUCCGUAACUGACGCUGAGUGUGCGAAAGCUAGGGGAGGAAACGGGAUUAGAUACCCCGGUAGUCCUGGCCGUAAACGAU
This 437-nucleotide ribosomal RNA is filed under the name uncultured bacterium. RNAcentral's name for it is "bacterial SSU rRNA". It matches the Rfam family "Bacterial small subunit ribosomal RNA", at positions 383 to 810 of the family's 1533-position model. The record is from RNAcentral.